AGGCUGUGGAUGAGCUGCUCGUUGCCGUUCUGGAUCGAGUAGAGGCCGAUGUAGCCGUCCACAUCCAUCACGAAAUUCUUCAGCGCAUUGAGGCCGUUGGUGUUGUGCGGCUCGGUGGCAAUGUCGGAACGCGCCAUCACUUUCAGGAAGCGCUUGGCGACCGGAUCAGCGACUUCACGAUCCAGCAAUUCCUCGGCGCUGAUGUAGGCCCAGGGAUGCUCGUUGUCGUGCGCGCCGACGCCCUCAUAAUAUUCGAUCGGCGACACCAUGCCGGCGCAGAGCUUGCGGAAAUCCUCGAUCGCCUU
RNAcentral lists this unclassified non-coding RNA (305 nucleotides) under Hevea brasiliensis (rubber tree). The record is from RNAcentral. Lineage: Eukaryota; Viridiplantae; Streptophyta; Magnoliopsida; Malpighiales; Euphorbiaceae.